This 400-nucleotide unclassified non-coding RNA is filed under the name uncultured fungus. Its description in RNAcentral is "sequence contains ITS1". The stretch from base 1 to 105 matches the Rfam family "5.8S ribosomal RNA", at positions 50 to 154 of the family's 154-position model. Lineage: Eukaryota; Fungi. The record is from RNAcentral.
GAAAUGCGAUACGUAAUGUGAAUUGCAGAAUUCAGUGAAUCAUCGAAUCUUUGAACGCAAAUUGCGCUUUUGGGUCACCCUGAGAGCAUGCCUCGUUCAGUAUCGUUUCAACCCACAUCUAAAGCUUUAUUGCUUUGGGAAAAUGAGGCGUCUUUAUGCUAGUCAUAAAGUCCCUUGAAGUACAUCGAGUUAACAUCAUUGUAUGUUCCUUUUUCUUCACAGAAAAAGCCUUCUUUACUCAGUCUCAAUGGAGAUACUUGACUUCGUGUCAUUCUUUUCAUUGAUUCCGGCUGAUCCUAAGCGGGAGUAGCAUAUAGGUGAAGACUUUAAAACUUUGCUUAAUAGCAAAAAUACCUAACGAUCUGAUCUGAACUGAGGUAGGAUUACCCGCUGAACUUAA